CUGGCAUCAUUGCAAGCUACAUGUGAUUUCUUCAGGUGCCUCAGUACUCAACGUUGACUGUUUCCAGGACCAUGAGUCUGACGAGGAUAAGUACCCAGCAAAUCGUUUAGGACAGUGAGUAAUGAGGCAAAUGACAAGGACAUGUUCUACCUUUCCCAUCAGAUCUCUUCUUUUUCUCUUGAAUGGAGACAAUCUUGCCUGCAAAUAUAGAAGCUCAACUCCAAGCUGUUAUAAUGCAAAUUCAGUCCCCCAAUACUGCAUUCAUUUGGGAGCAGCCAUGAUCCACAAG
RNAcentral lists this long non-coding RNA (289 nucleotides) under Fukomys damarensis (Damara mole-rat). Its description in RNAcentral is "lncRNA (ENSFDAG00000026326.1)". Lineage: Eukaryota; Metazoa; Chordata; Mammalia; Rodentia; Bathyergidae. The record is from RNAcentral.